RNAcentral lists this non-coding RNA (29 nucleotides) under Rattus norvegicus (Norway rat). Lineage: Eukaryota; Metazoa; Chordata; Mammalia; Rodentia; Muridae. The record is from RNAcentral.
UCAGCAUUCAGGAGUGUGAGCUGGGGCUG